Molecule: long non-coding RNA, 456 nt
Filed under: Capsicum annuum
Lineage: Eukaryota; Viridiplantae; Streptophyta; Magnoliopsida; Solanales; Solanaceae
Description: long non-coding RNA (CANN_LNC022315)
Source: RNAcentral
CCAAAUAACAAAAGAUAACAAAUUUUAUCUUCUUUUAAAACCUCCUAACAAACCCUCCAAUAAAAUAAAGCCACCUCACAUUAUUCUAAUCAUCAUCACCCUACCUACCCACGUGAACCCAUCCUAUUACUUGUUCACAAAGAAAAAAAAAGAAGAUAAACAUUCUUUAAAAGGAAAGGGGUCCCAUGAGGGAACCUUCCAGGAAGAUGCCAAGGGACCUUUUUGUUUUCAUUUUUUUUAUAUACAUAUAGGGGACCAUUUUUAUUUUUUAGGAGGAUCUUCACACAAAAAAACAUAGGCAGAGACCAUGGUUUCUGCUCUUCCUCAGGUCACAUAUCCACAGCUCCAUUUUUCUCCAUUCUUUUUGCUUCAUUUUUUAGUACACACACCGAUACACUAUCGUAUACACGCAUACACAUAGCUCCAAGGCACGAAUCACAACACACACACACACAC